Long non-coding RNA from Anoplopoma fimbria (sablefish), 959 nucleotides. RefSeq lists it as uncharacterized. NCBI's taxonomy places the organism in Eukaryota, Metazoa, Chordata, Actinopteri, Perciformes, Anoplopomatidae. The transcript is spliced from 5 exons. The record is from RefSeq and is a predicted model, not a curated record.
AUCCACACUCCAGAGAGGUGGGUGGCGGUAAUGCACCCGAACGCUGUUUGCCAACCGCCAUUAAAAGCAAACGAAGAAGAAGAAGAAGAACGAGGAAGCGUUGUGCUGAACGACGCUAUCAGGCCACUCCACAUUGAAGUCAGCGGAUGGCAGCACAUAUACAUCCUCUUGAAUAUAAAAUGUCGCUCUCUGUCGUCCGAGUUUGCUGUAAGACGGAACCAGGUGUUGAACGCAACAAUACAAAGUUAAGCCUGCAACUCUGCACAGGAUCCAUUGGAGGAGAAGGCCUGACCUGACUCAUCAUGGAGGAGCUUCCAGCCUGAAACACACCAUGUGGCAGAGAUGCCUUGUCUGAAGAUGGGAUUAUUGAUCCUCAUGUGGCCAAGAGCAGAAACACUGAGAGCAUUCGUCAGAAUAUGUAUUCAUGGAGAAGGGCAGUAAUGCACACUCAGUCACACUGCUGAUUACGGAAAAAACAUGCUGGACACAACUGAAAGGCCCGAGGAUGGUAUGUUUUCACACACGGCAUGCACUGACAGGCAGCAUUAUUAGUAUUCCUAGUGGUGAAGAAGUCACUGCUGAAGCAUGGACGAAUUCUGUUCCAGCUAGUCUGUGGUGGAAACAGUCAGACACUAUGCAAAAGCCAUGUCUCAUUCCUGCUUAAUGACUGGGUGAGUGCUUCCCUUAGCCUCAUCCAACUACACAGGAAUGAGUACAAUGAUACACUGAGAAGAUGAUGAUGCUAUUACUGUCAUUGUUUUCUUUCUUUUUUUUGUAUUUAUCUUUUUCUAAAUUCUGCAGUGGCUACUUCUGAAGCAGAAACAUGAGAAAAAUGAUCAACUUCUUUGUUCAUGAGCCACAAGGGAAAGCGGUGUGUUGUGCUGAAAACUAGCACCACCUGUCUUUGGAUGUUUAUCCUUGAAAGAUGUACCCCACUCUUCUUUUGCAAUAAACUUGUA